AGCGCCGGUAAGGUGAUAUGAACCGUUAUAACCGGCGAUACCCGAAUGGGGAAACCCAGUGUGACUCGUCACACUAUCAUUAACUGAAUCCAUAGGUUAAUGAGGCGAACCGGGGGAACUGAAACAUCUAAGUACCCCGAGGAAAAGAAAUCAACCGAGAUUCCCCCAGUAGCGGCGAGCGAACGGGGAGGAGCCCAGAGCCUGAAUCAGCAUGUGUGUUAGUGGAAGCGUCUGGAAAGGCGCGCGAUACAGGGUGACAGCCCCGUACACAAAAGCGCAUGUGCUGUGAGCUCGAUGAGUAGGGCGGGACACGUGGUAUCCUGUCUGAAUAUGGGGGGACCAUCCUCCAAGGCUAAAUACUCCUGACUGACCGAUAGUGAACCAGUACCGUGAGGGAAAGGCGAAAAGAACCCCGGCGAGGGGAGUGAAAAAGAACCUGAAACCGUGUACGUACAAGCAGUGGGAGCACCCUUUGGGUGUGACUGCGUACCUUUUGUAUAAUGGGUCAGCGACUUAUAUUCUGUAGCAAGGUUAACCGAAUAGGGGAGC
RNAcentral lists this ribosomal RNA (549 nucleotides) under Salmonella enterica. Its description in RNAcentral is "partial 23S ribosomal RNA". It matches the Rfam family "Bacterial large subunit ribosomal RNA", at positions 74 to 666 of the family's 2925-position model. The record is from RNAcentral. RNAcentral also lists the same sequence under 1 other name. Lineage: Bacteria; Pseudomonadati; Pseudomonadota; Gammaproteobacteria; Enterobacterales; Enterobacteriaceae.